This 434-nucleotide long non-coding RNA is filed under the name Androctonus crassicauda. Lineage: Eukaryota; Metazoa; Arthropoda; Arachnida; Scorpiones; Buthidae. The record is from RNAcentral.
UAGCAAUGUUUGCAAAGCUUACCGAUGAAAUGUUGUUGCAGUGGCAGAUCCUCGAUGGAAUAUAGCAAUAUGCAAAUAUUACUGCAUUUCAUUGGGAAAAGGUAUGGAGCCGUUCUCUGAACGUACGCAACCUUUUCGCCCUGUAAAUCAACUGGAGCGGCCAGAGCAGUUGCUAAUGGACCGUCAAGAUGAUUUUUUUUUAAAUUAUAAUUACUACCAUCUAUUUUUAUGGCCAAGGACGAACACGCAACUGAGGAGCUCGAAAAACAGAUUCUACAUCCAUUAUCAUCUUCAGAAUUUUUCACAUAAAAAAUCAUUUAUGUCGAGAAUUCUGUUCGUCUUGAGAAAAACAUUUUAAGAAAUUUAUUGGAUUUCUAAAGCCGUUUGAUUAUGAUUUUCUCUUCUUUUUCAUACAUAUUGUAUAUCUUAAUAGC